AGUCUGGUGCCAGCAGCCGCGGUAAUUCCAGCUCCAAUAGCGUAUAUUAAAGUUGUUGCAGUUAAAAAGCUCGUAGUUGAACUUCUGGCUGUUGCGUUCGCCGGCUUCGGUCGCGUCCGUAGCGGUCAUCCGCUUGGGAACUCCAUUCGAACUUCACUGUUCGGUGGAAGGAACAGGCAUUUUACUUUGAAAAAAUUAGAGUGUUCAAGGCAGGCUAUCGCCCUGAAUACACAAGCAUGGAAUAAUGAAAUAGGACUUUUUCCAUUUUAUUGGUUAUUGGAAUUAGUAAUGAUUAAUAGGGACAGUUGGGGGCAUUAGUAUUUAAUAGUCAGAGGUGAAAUUCUUGGAUUUAUUAAAGACUAACUUAUGCGAAAGCAUUUGCCAAGGAUGUUUUCAUUAAUCAAGAACGAAAGUUAGGGGAUCAAAGACGAUCAGAUACCGUCCUAGUCUUAACUAUAAACUAUACCGACUAGGGAUUGGCCGGGAGUUUUCAACCCGGUCAGCACCUUAUGAGAAAUCAAAGUCUAUGGGUUCUGGGGGGAGUAUGGUCGCAAGGCUGAAACUUAAAGGAAUUGACGGAAGGGCACCACCAGGAGUGGAGCCUGCGGCUUAAUUUGACACAACACGGGGAAACUUACCAGGUCAAGACAUAAGUGGGAUUGACAGAUUGAGAGCUCUUUCUUGAUUCUAUGGGUGGUGGUGCAUGGCCGUUCUUAGUUGGUGGAGUGAUUUAUCUGGUUAAUUCCGUUAACGAACGAGACCUUAACCUGCUAAAUAGUCAUGCCGUGAAUAGCAGUAUUGACUUCUUAAAGGGACUAUGCGUUCAAGCGCAUGGAAGUUUGAGGCAAUAACAGGUCAGUGAUGCCCUUAGAUGUCCUGGGCCGCACGCGCGCUACACUGACACGUGCAACGAGUACAUCCUGGUCCGGAAGGACUUCGGGUAAUCUUCAUAGUACGUGUCGUGCUGGGGAUAGAUCUUUGCAAUUUUAGAUCUUGAACGAGGAAUUCCUAGUAAGCAUAAGUCAUCAGCUUGUGCUGAUUACGUCCCUGCCCUUUGUACACACCGCCCGUCGCUCCUACCGAUUGAGUGGUUCGGUGAACUUUUCGGACUGCGCUUGCUUUAGCUUGUGCGGGAAGUUAAUUAAACCAU
Molecule: ribosomal RNA, 1150 nt
Filed under: metagenome
Description: SSU rRNA
Rfam family: Eukaryotic small subunit ribosomal RNA
Source: RNAcentral